This 880-nucleotide ribosomal RNA is filed under the name Cryptodiscus cladoniicola. Its description in RNAcentral is "bacterial SSU rRNA". It matches the Rfam family "Eukaryotic small subunit ribosomal RNA", at positions 135 to 835 of the family's 1831-position model. The record is from RNAcentral. Lineage: Eukaryota; Fungi; Ascomycota; Lecanoromycetes; Ostropales; Stictidaceae.
UUACCUGGAUAACCGUGGUAAUUCUAGAGCUAAUACAUGCUAAAAACCUCGACUCGCGAAGAGGUGUAUUUAUUAGAUAAAAAACCAAUGCCCUUCGGGGCUCUUUGGUGAAUCAUAAUAACUAAACGAAUCGCAUGACCUUGCGUCGGCGAUGGUUCAUUCAAAUCUGUGCCCUAUCAACUUCGAUGGUAAAAUAGAGGUUUACCAUGGUUUCCACGGGUAACGGGGGAUUAGGGUCCGAUUCCGGAGAGGGAGCCUGAGAAACGGCUACCACAUCCAAGGAAGGCAGCAGGCGCGCAAAUUACCCAAUCUCAAUACGAUGAGGUAGUAAGUAACAUCCAUUUCUCAAACAAAUCCCAAACUCGACGAGUGCGGGGGCUGUUACGAGAUCCAAGUCCAAUUGCGGUCUUCGAGCUUCUCUCUUCAGCUGGAUCGUUAUCGCACCGUUUGGAUCUCGUACAGUUCUCGCACGAAGUCAACAUAUCUAUAGUUGAUCUUGUGCUAACUGUACUGCCUAGGUGACAAUAAAUACUGAUGCAGAGCUCUUUUGGGUUUUGCAAUUGGAAUGAGUACAAUUUAAACCCCUUAACGAGGAACAAUUGGAGGGCAAGUCUGGUGCCAGCAGCCGCGGUAAUUCCAGCUCCAAUAGCGUAUAUUAAAGUUGUUGCAGUUAAAAAGCUCGUAGUUGAACCUUGGGCCUGGCUGACCGGUCCGCCUCACCGCGUGCACUGGUUCGGCCGGGCCUUUCCUCCUGGGGAUCCGCAUGUCCUUCACUGGGUGUGCUGGGGAACCAGGACUUUUACUUUGAAAAAAUUAGAGUGUUCAAAGCAGGUCUAUGCUCGAAUACAUUAGCAUGGAAUAAUAGAAUAGGACGUGCGGU